GCCGGGCGCAGUGGCGGGCGCCUGUAGUUCCAACUACUCGGGAGGCUGAGGCAGGAGAAUGGCGUGAACCCGGGAGGCGGAGCUUGCAGUGAGCCGAGAUUGCGCCACUGCACUCCAGCCUGGGCGACAGAGCGAGACUUUGUCUCAAAAAAAAAAAAAGAAAAAUAAUAAUAAUAAUAAUUAUUAUUAUUAUUAUUUUGAGACAAAGUCUUACUCUGUUGCCCAGAGUGGAGUGCAGUGGUGUGAUCUCGGCUCACUGCAACCUCCGCCUCCUGGGUUCAAGCGAUUCUCCUGCCUCAG
This 300-nucleotide signal recognition particle RNA is filed under the name Chlorocebus sabaeus (green monkey). RNAcentral describes it as "Metazoan signal recognition particle RNA". It matches the Rfam family "Metazoan signal recognition particle RNA". Rfam says of the family: The signal recognition particle (SRP) is a universally conserved ribonucleoprotein. It is involved in the co-translational targeting of proteins to membranes. The record is from Rfam by way of RNAcentral. Lineage: Eukaryota; Metazoa; Chordata; Mammalia; Primates; Cercopithecidae.